GACCAGACUCCUACGGGAGGCAGCAGUGGGGAAUAUUGCACAAUGGGGGAAACCCUGAUGCAGCGACGCCGCGUGAGUGAAGAAGUAUUUCGGUAUGUAAAGCUCUAUCAGCAGGGAAGAAAAUGACGGUACCUGACUAAGAAGCCCCGGCUAACUACGUGCCAGCAGCCGCGGUAAUACGUAGGGGGCAAGCGUUAUCCGGAUUUACUGGGUGUAAAGGGAGCGUAGACGGCAUGGCAAGUCAGAUGUGAAAGCCCGGGGCUCAACCCCGGGACUGCAUUUGGAACUGUCAGGCUGGAGUGCAGGAGAGGUAAGUGGAAUUCCUAGUGUAGCGGUGAAAUGCGUAGAUAUUAGGAGGGACACCAGUGGCGAAGGCGGCUUACUGGACUGUAACUGACGUUGAGGCUCGAAAGCGUGGGGAGCAAACAGGAUUAGAUACCCGGGUA
This 446-nucleotide ribosomal RNA is filed under the name uncultured bacterium. RNAcentral describes it as "bacterial SSU rRNA". It matches the Rfam family "Bacterial small subunit ribosomal RNA", at positions 329 to 792 of the family's 1533-position model. The record is from RNAcentral.